This 487-nucleotide ribosomal RNA is filed under the name uncultured bacterium. RNAcentral's name for it is "bacterial SSU rRNA". It matches the Rfam family "Bacterial small subunit ribosomal RNA", at positions 33 to 507 of the family's 1533-position model. The record is from RNAcentral.
CGGCACGCUGGCGGCGUGGAUUAGGCAUGCAAGUCGAACGCGUCCUAAGGGCAACUUUAGGAUGAGUGGCGAACGGGUGAGUAUCACGUGGGUAAUCUUCCUUUAAGUGGGGAAUAAGCUCUCGAAAGGGAGUCUAAUACCGCAUGACAUUCCGGGACACAAGUCCCCGUAAGUCAAAGCCGCAAGGCGCUUGAAGAUGAGCCUGUCGUCCUAUUAGCUAGUUGGUGGGGUAACGGCCUACCAAGGCUCAGAUGGGUAGCCGGCCUGAGAGGGUGAACGGCCACACUGGGACUGAGAUACGGCCCAGACUCCUACGGGAGGCAGCAGCUAAGAAUAUUCCGCAAUGGACGAAAGUCUGACGGAGCGACGCCGCGUGGAUGAAGAAGGCCGAAAGGUUGUAAAGUUCUUUUGCUAGGGGAGAAUAAGUGAGGGAGGGAAUGCCCUCAUGAUGACAAGGACUAGCGAAUAAGCCCCGGCCAACUACGUG